Molecule: non-coding RNA, 81 nt
Organism: Myotis brandtii (Brandt's bat)
Lineage: Eukaryota; Metazoa; Chordata; Mammalia; Chiroptera; Vespertilionidae
Source: Rfam
AGGCCUGAAGAGAGAAGCAGGGUCUGAUCCCCAGCCUCUGUGGCAGCUGUUGAUCAACCGUAGCCUUUCUCUUUUUCUCCA